AGAACGAACGCUGGCGGCAUGCCUAAUACAUGCAAGUCGAACGAACACUUCGGUGUUAGUGGCGCACGGGUGCGUAACGCGUGGGAAUCUGCCCUUGGGUUCGGAAUAACAGUUGGAAACGACUGCUAAUACCGGAUGAUAUCGAAAGAUCAAAGAUUUAUCGCCCAGGGAUGAGCCCGCGUAGGAUUAGCUAGUUGGUGAGGUAAAGGCUCACCAAGGCGACGAUCCUUAGCUGGUCUGAGAGGAUGAUCAGCCACACUGGGACUGAGACACGGCCCAGACCUCCGUACGGGAGCGAG
This 299-nucleotide ribosomal RNA is filed under the name uncultured soil bacterium. Its description in RNAcentral is "partial 16S ribosomal RNA". It matches the Rfam family "Bacterial small subunit ribosomal RNA", at positions 26 to 351 of the family's 1533-position model. The record is from RNAcentral.